UACGGGGGGGGCAAGCGUUGUUCGGAAUUAUUGGGCGUAAAGAGCUCGUAGGCGGUGGGUCGCGUCGGCCGUGAAAACCUGCAGCUUAACUGUGGGCUUGCGGUCGAUACGGGCAUCACUGGAGUUCGGCAGGGGAGACUGGAAUUCCUGGUGUAGCGGUGAAAUGCGCAGAUAUCAGGAGGAACACCGGUGGCGAAGGCGGGUCUCUGGGCCGAUACUGACGCUGAGGAGCGAAAGCGUGGGGAGCGAACAGG
This 254-nucleotide ribosomal RNA is filed under the name uncultured bacterium. Its description in RNAcentral is "partial 16S ribosomal RNA". It matches the Rfam family "Bacterial small subunit ribosomal RNA", at positions 524 to 776 of the family's 1533-position model. The record is from RNAcentral.